AGAUAUGCGUUGAUGUCGGAGGUUGCGCUUAACCCAGCGGUAAUUUCGACGGAGUAUGUCCGAUUUAAAACCGGGCGACAU
Non-coding RNA from Clostridiales bacterium 41_21_two_genomes, 81 nucleotides. NCBI's taxonomy places the organism in Bacteria, Bacillati, Bacillota, Clostridia, Eubacteriales. The record is from Rfam.